AGCAGCCGCGGUAAUUCCAGCUCCAAUAGCGUAUAUUAAAGUUGUUGCAGUUAAAAAGCUCGUAGUUGAACUUCGGGGUCUACCCAUUGGUCAGGCUUAAUUGUCUGCACUGGUGAGAUGGAUCUCUACCUUCUGAGGAACUUUCAUGCCAUUUAUUUGGUGUGGUUGGAAAUCAGGACUGUUACUUUGAAAAAAUUAGAGUGUUUAAAGCAGACUAUCGUCUGAAUACAUUAGCAUGGAAUAAUGAAAUAGGACGGACUGAUUCUAUUUCGUUGGUUUCUAGGAUCACCGUAAUGAUUAAUAGGGAUAGUUGGGGGCAUUAGUAUUCAAUUGUCAGAGGUGAAAUUCUUGGAUUUAUUGAAGACUAACUACUGCGAAAGCAUUUGCCAAGGAUGUUUUCAUUAAUCAAGAACGAAAGUUAGGGGACCGAAGACGAUCAGAUACCGUCGUAGUCUUAACCAUAAACUAUGCCGACUAGGGAUCGGACGAAGUUAAUUUUAUAAUGACGCG
This 510-nucleotide ribosomal RNA is filed under the name uncultured Glomus. RNAcentral describes it as "SSU rRNA". It matches the Rfam family "Eukaryotic small subunit ribosomal RNA", at positions 569 to 1078 of the family's 1831-position model. Lineage: Eukaryota; Fungi; Glomeromycota; Glomeromycetes; Glomerales; Glomeraceae. The record is from RNAcentral.